Mycena amicta is the source of this 95-nucleotide non-coding RNA. The record is from the annotation of a GenBank genome assembly. Lineage: Eukaryota; Fungi; Basidiomycota; Agaricomycetes; Agaricales; Mycenaceae.
AGCAGCAUGGCGCAGAUGGAAGCGCGCGGGGCCCAUAUAGCAGCGUAGUCGCUCCGUUAACCCCGAUGUCACUCGAUCGAAACGAGUUGCUGCUG